GAUGAACGCUGGCGGCGUGCCUAAUACAUGCAAGUCGAGCGAACGGACGAGAGGCUUGCUUCUCUGAUGUUAGCGGCGGACGGGUGAGUAACACGUGGAUAACCUACCUAUAAGACUGGGAUAACUUCGGGAAACCGUAGCUAAUACCGGAUAAUAUUUUGAACCGCAUGGUUCAAAAGUGAAAGACGGUCUUGCUGUCACUUAUAGAUGGAUCCGCGCUGCAUUAGCUAGUUGGUAAGGUAACGGCUUACCAAGGCAACGAUGCAUAGCCGACCUGAGAGGGUGGUCGGCCACACUGGAACUGAGACACGGUCCAGACUCCUACGGGAGGCAGCAGUAGGGAAUCUUCCGCAAUGGGCGAAAGCCUGACGGAGCAACGCCGCGUGAGUGAUGAAGGUCUUCGGAUCGUAAAACUCUGUUAUUAGGGAAGAACAUAUGUGUAAGUAACUGUGCACAUCUUGACGGUACCUAAUCAGAAAGCCACGGCUAACUACGUG
This 497-nucleotide ribosomal RNA is filed under the name uncultured bacterium. RNAcentral describes it as "partial 16S ribosomal RNA". It matches the Rfam family "Bacterial small subunit ribosomal RNA", at positions 28 to 507 of the family's 1533-position model. The record is from RNAcentral.